GACGAACGCUGGCGGCGUGCUUAACACAUGCAAGUCGAACGGAAAGGCCCUGCUUUUGUGGGGUGCUCGAGUGGCGAACGGGUGAGUAACACGUGAGUAAACUGCCCUUGACUUUGGGAUAACUUCAGGAAACUGGGGCUAAUACCGGAUAGGAGCUACUGCUGCAUGGUGGGGGAUGGAAAGAUUCGGCGGUUGUGGAUGGAAUCGCGGCUUAUCAGCUGGUUGGUGGGGUAGUGGCUUACCAAGGCUGUGACGGGUAGCCGGCCUGAGAGGGUGACCGGCGACCUUGCUACUGAGGUACGGCCCAGACUGCUACGGUAGGCAGCAGUGGGGAAUAUUGCGCAAUGAGCGGACGCCUGAUGCAGCAACGCCGCGUUCGGGAUGACGGCCUUCGGGUUGUAAACCGCUUUCGCCUGUGACGUAGCGUGCGUGACGGUAAUGGGUAAAGAAGCACCGGCUAACUACGUG
RNAcentral lists this ribosomal RNA (468 nucleotides) under uncultured bacterium. RNAcentral describes it as "partial 16S ribosomal RNA". It matches the Rfam family "Bacterial small subunit ribosomal RNA", at positions 28 to 507 of the family's 1533-position model. The record is from RNAcentral.